CAGUAGCCGCGGGAAUACGAAGGGGGCUAGCGUUGUUCGGAUUUACUGGGCGUAAAGCGCACGUAGGCGGAUUCUUAAGUCAGAGGUGAAAUCCCAAGGCUCAACCUUGGAACUGCCUCUGAUACUGGGGAUCUCGAGUCCGGGAGAGGUGAGUGGAACUGCGAGUGUAGAGGUGAAAUUCGUAGAUAUUCGCAAGAACACCAGUGGCGAAGGCGGCUCACUGGCCCGGUACUGACGCUGAGGUGCGAAAGCGUGGGGAGCAAACAGGAUUAGAUACCCGGGUAGUCCCUGUCUCUUAUAC
Molecule: ribosomal RNA, 301 nt
Filed under: uncultured bacterium
Lineage: Bacteria
Description: partial 16S ribosomal RNA
Rfam family: Bacterial small subunit ribosomal RNA
Source: RNAcentral